AAUACUUUUCCACACGAUUUUAUUUUUGGGUUCGUUUCGAACUCCAUUCAAACUAAUUUGUCUUUGUUUGCGAUCAUGGGGUUUGGAUGUAGGCCCAUUAAGAACGGGCCUUAGGUCUUAGGCCCAUUACAUCUUGUAUUAUUGAGGUGCACCAAAUCUUAUGACUAAUCAACGUAAUAGAUCCAUCCAUAUGGCAAGGUGAAUUGAAAUCCACAACUUUAUUGAAAAAUACACAUACCCUCCCUCACUCGUCUCACAUAUCACAAAACAGAUUAUUACUCCAAAAUCCUAAUCAACGAAUUAAACCUGUUUUUUAAGACUAUCAUCAUCAUCAUCAUCGUCAUCUGAACACUCAUCUUGAAGAAUGACUGCGGAUCCCUUGUUGACAUCAAGCCAUUUCUUC
Molecule: long non-coding RNA, 403 nt
Filed under: Salvia miltiorrhiza (redroot sage)
Lineage: Eukaryota; Viridiplantae; Streptophyta; Magnoliopsida; Lamiales; Lamiaceae
Description: long non-coding RNA (SMIL_LNC000510)
Source: RNAcentral